CAGUAGCCGCGGUAAUACGAAGGGGGCUAGCGUUGUUCGGAUUUACUGGGCGUAAAGGGCGCGUAGGCGGACUGAUAAGUCAGGGGUGAAAUCCCAAGGCUCAACCUUGGAACUGCCUUUGAUACUGUUUGUCUUGAGUUCGAGAGAGGUAAGUGGAACUGCGAGUGUAGAGGUGAAAUUCGUAGAUAUUCGCAAGAACACCAGUGGCGAAGGCGGCUUACUGGCUCGAAACUGACGCUGAGGCGCGAAAGCGUGGGGAGCAAACAGGAUUAGAUACCCCUGUAGUCCCUGUCUCUUAUAU
This 301-nucleotide ribosomal RNA is filed under the name uncultured bacterium. Its description in RNAcentral is "partial 16S ribosomal RNA". It matches the Rfam family "Bacterial small subunit ribosomal RNA", at positions 509 to 809 of the family's 1533-position model. The record is from RNAcentral.